Molecule: ribosomal RNA, 254 nt
Filed under: uncultured bacterium
Lineage: Bacteria
Description: partial 16S ribosomal RNA
Rfam family: Bacterial small subunit ribosomal RNA
Source: RNAcentral
UACGGGGGGAGCAAGCGUUGUUCGGAUUUACUGGGCGUAAAGGGCGCGUAGGCGGUCAGCACAAGUCAGUUGUGAAAUCUCCGGGCUUAACUCGGAAAGGUCAACUGAUACUGUGCGACUAGAGUGCGGAAGGGGCAACUGGAAUUCUCGGUGUAGCGGUGAAAUGCGUAGAUAUCGUAAGGAAGACCAGUGGCGAAGGCGGGUCUCUGGACAGUUCCUGACGCUGAGGCACGAAGGCCAGGGGAGCAAACGGG